Molecule: transfer RNA, 30 nt
Filed under: Adenophora nikoensis f. nipponica
Lineage: Eukaryota; Viridiplantae; Streptophyta; Magnoliopsida; Asterales; Campanulaceae
Description: partial tRNA-His
Source: RNAcentral
GGUGGAUGUAGCCAAGUGGAACAAGGCAGU